CCGCCGUCACAACCAUGGAAGUGUAUUGCACCAGAAGCAGGUAGCCCUGACCGGCAAGGAGGGCGCCUACCACGGUGUGGUCCAUGACUGGGGUG
Molecule: ribosomal RNA, 95 nt
Filed under: uncultured bacterium
Lineage: Bacteria
Description: partial 16S ribosomal RNA
Source: RNAcentral